This is a long non-coding RNA of Urocitellus parryii (Arctic ground squirrel), 1718 nucleotides long. NCBI's taxonomy places the organism in Eukaryota, Metazoa, Chordata, Mammalia, Rodentia, Sciuridae. The record is from Ensembl.
GCCGUCUAGUGAGAGCAAGACUGACAUCAUUGCGCGCGUGCCCGGGAGAUUGUGAAGUGUGGAGUGACCCUUGAUGAUGCCAACCUGCGUGUGCGCCGGAAGUCCGCUUCCCCUCCCAGAUAAGGGCCAGGGAAGGACACGGCUCGCGGACACCCCAGGAGGAGGGGGGAAGACUGGGACCUCGUCGGCAGCGUGGGUCGUCCCGGCAGCCACCGUCAGUGCGGUUGCCCCAGGACUGGCUCUGCGGAGGUCAGCAGUACUCGAGGGGCAGUUUUUCCUUGGUGAGAUGAUGCUCCUGCCUAGGGAAGCCCUCUUUUCCCCCAGGAGGCGACUGCCGACACUUAAGAGGGCAUCCAUCCUCUUAAGCAUGCUGUCGCUUGGGGUGGUUUCAGUCCCUUGUCAAAGAUGCUGACCAACCAGGUCAGUAGUUCCUGGAGUCCACGGUAACUGAAGAAGAAGGUGGCUCAGAAGAGAGAGAAAAGGCAAAUGGAGUUGGUUAGGUCAGUAACUGGACCCUCUACACUCUGGAGAGAUUUGAGCAGUUUGUUAAAGUGCUGAACAUAGACCUCUCCUGUAACCUAGCCAUUCCACACCUGCUCUUUGCCCAACAGGAAAGAGUAUGUGCCCUUAAAAAGAGCUGUGCUAAUGGCCCAAACUGGAAAUGAUCCACAUGUCCCUCAAUAGGUCAGUCAGUAAACCAAUCGUGAUAGAUCCAUGGAAUGAAAUAUCUCCCAGGGAUAAAAAAGCGCAAGUUUGAUAUAUCCAACAGCAUGUAUAAUCCCAUGAACAUGCUAAGUGGAAGGUAUCAGUAUAGAAAAUACAAACGAUAUGACAGAAAGUAUAUGACCAGUGGUUGCUGGGGAAUGGAUGGGUCUGGGAGGGAAGGAAGGGUUACAAAGAGACACAGGAAAUUUUGCAGGGGUUUGGAUAUUAUCUUGAUUGAGGUGAUGAUUUCACUUGUAUCUACAUUGUCAAGUUUGUCAAAUUAGAUGAACUUGUAAUUACUCUUAUGUCAAUCAUAUGUCAAUGUAAAGUUCUUUAAAACUUCCAUUCUUACUUCCUUAGGGGAAAGGUCUCAAGACAAUUCUAAGUGCGAAUCCUUCAAAACUUUCCCCUAGAGAAUGUAUAUCUGUAUGUAAUAGGAAUUACAUUAUACAUGUUGUUAAAUACAUAUACAUAUUGUUCUGCAUCUCCUUUAAAAUUCUUUUAUGUAAAUUUUCAUCAGUGUCAAUAUUUACAGGUAUAGGAUUCUGUAGAAGGAAUGUACCAUAAUUUAAUCAUUUCUCUGCUUCACAACAUUUAAGUUGAAUGCUGCACAUUCACAUUUCGAAUUUUUAAACAUAAUACCAAUAUACUCCAUGCAGGUUGUACUAUUUUAAUUUCUCUGAGCAUCUUUUAAUAUUUUAAUUUUUUAGUUGUAGAUGGACACAGUACCUUUUUAUUUAUUUAUUUUUAAUGUGGUGCUGAGUAUUGAACCCAGAACCUCACACAUGCUAGGCGAGCGCUGUACCACUGAGCCACAACCCCAGCCCUCUGAGUAUCUUUUUAUUUAUUAGCCACUUGGAUUUCUGUAAAUUGCCUCUUAAUAUCAUUUGCCCAUUUCCUUUCCUUCUUAUUUCUCAUAUAAGAAGGUCUUCAAAAUAUGAGAUAUCUAGGUCUGAGGACAUUUUUGUCCUUUUGAGAAUAAACUACAAUUUUUCAAGUAGAAGGAUACUGGU